This 492-nucleotide ribosomal RNA is filed under the name uncultured bacterium. Its description in RNAcentral is "partial 16S ribosomal RNA". It matches the Rfam family "Bacterial small subunit ribosomal RNA", at positions 29 to 507 of the family's 1533-position model. The record is from RNAcentral.
AGUGAACGCUGGCGGUAGGCCUAACACAUGCAAGUCGAACGGCAGCACAGUAAGAGCUUGCUCUUACGGGUGGCGAGUGGCGGACAGGUGAGGAAUACAUCGGUAUCUACUUUUUCGUGGGGGAUAACGUAGGGAAACUUACGCUAAUACCGCAUACGACCUACGGGUGAAAGCAGGGGAUCUUCGGACCUUGCUCGAUUGAAUGAGCCGAUGUCGGAUUAGCUAGUUGGCGGGGUAAAGGCCCACCAAGGCGACGAUCCGUAGCUGGUCUGAGAGGAUGAUCAGCCACACUGGAACUGAGACACGGUCCAGACUCCUACGGGAGGCAGCAGUGGGGAAUAUUGGACAAUGGGCGCAAGCCUGAUCCAGCCAUACCGCGUGGGUGAAGAAGGCCUUCGGGUUGUAAAGCCCUUUUGUUGGGAAAGAAAAGCAGCAGGUUAAUACCCCGCUGUUCUGACGGUACCCAAAGAAUAAGCACCGGCUAACUUCGUG